RNAcentral lists this long non-coding RNA (509 nucleotides) under Heterocephalus glaber (naked mole-rat). RNAcentral's name for it is "lncRNA (ENSHGLG00100026517.2)". Lineage: Eukaryota; Metazoa; Chordata; Mammalia; Rodentia; Bathyergidae. The record is from RNAcentral.
CCUUCUUCUACCCACCUGAUAUUGGCCAUGGAAGAACACUGUAUGGCUGAGCCAGAACUCCUGUUUUUGAGAAGCCAGGAAUGCUACUGAUCUGACAUUCAGAGCAAUACCCUGAAGAUGUGCCUCUUCAUCACCUUCCCAGUCUCUGAGCUCAAGUUGGGGAUCCUUGUGCCACCCUGAAUCAGCACCGGCUUCCCUGGGCCACACCAGCUGAGCCAGUACAACUGCUCUGCCAGCAUUGGCAUUGGGACUGGAGAGGGCAUUUUGGGUCCGCUGGGCUCUGCACAGUGGUGGAGGCUGGCAUGGGAAGGACCUUGAGUGCUUGCUCUGCCAGGUGAGACGUGGAUAAAGGACACCCAGGUCUGCCACACUUCCUGCUCUUGGUGAUUGAAUGUGAAUAUUUAGCUGCCACAGUGGGUAGGAGGGUGUAAUUUUCUUAUUUUUAGAUGUUUAGAGACAGAACUGAUGAUAAGGCUUUGACAGAAAAUGACUGACAUGUGGAUUUUGAU